This 465-nucleotide ribosomal RNA is filed under the name Vreelandella stevensii. RNAcentral's name for it is "partial 16S ribosomal RNA". It matches the Rfam family "Bacterial small subunit ribosomal RNA", at positions 338 to 795 of the family's 1533-position model. The record is from RNAcentral. Lineage: Bacteria; Pseudomonadati; Pseudomonadota; Gammaproteobacteria; Oceanospirillales; Halomonadaceae.
CCUACGGGGGGCAGCAGUGGGGAAUAUUGGACAAUGGGGGGAACCCUGAUCCAGCCAUGCCGCGUGUGUGAAGAAGGCCCUCGGGUUGUAAAGCACUUUCAGUGAGGAAGAACGCCUGGUGGUUAAUACCCAUCAGGAAAGACAUCACUCACAGAAGAAGCACCGGCUAACUCCGUGCCAGCAGCCGCGGUAAUACGGAGGGUGCGAGCGUUAAUCGGAAUUACUGGGCGUAAAGCGCGCGUAGGUGGCUUGAUAAGCCGGUUGUGAAAGCCCCGGGCUCAACCUGGGAACGGCAUCCGGAACUGUCAAGCUAGAGUGCAGGAGAGGAAGGUAGAAUUCCCGGUGUAGCGGUGAAAUGCGUAGAGAUCGGGAGGAAUACCAGUGGCGAAGGCGGCCUUCUGGACUGACACUGACACUGAGGUGCGAAAGCGUGGGUAGCAGACAGGAUUAGAUACCCCUGUAGGC